CUUGCUCCCUGGCGGCGAGUGGCGCACGGGUGAGUAACACGUAUCCAACCUGCCGAUAACUCGGGGAUAGCCUUUCGAAAGAAAGAUUAAUAUCCGAUGGUAUAUUAAAACCGCAUGGUUUUACUAUUAAAGAAUUUCGGUUAUCGAUGGGGAUGCGUUCCAUUAGUUUGUUGGCGGGGUAACGGCCCACCAAGACUACGAUGGAUAGGGGUUCUGAGAGGAAGGUCCCCCACAUUGGAACUGAGACACGGUCCAA
Molecule: ribosomal RNA, 256 nt
Filed under: uncultured bacterium
Lineage: Bacteria
Description: partial 16S ribosomal RNA
Rfam family: Bacterial small subunit ribosomal RNA
Source: RNAcentral